UAACUUAGUGGCGGACGGGUGAGUAACGCGUGAGUACCUGCCUUUCAGAGGGGGAUAACGUUCUGAAAAGAACGCUAAUACCGCAUAACAUCGCAUGAUCAGAGGAGCAAUCGCUGGAAGAUGGACUCGCGUCCGAUUAGCCAGUUGGCGGGGUAACGGCCCACCAAAGCGACGAUCGGUAGCCGGACUGAGAGGUUGAACGGCCACAUUGGGACUGAGACACGGCCCAGACUCCUACGGGAGGCAGCAGUGGGGGAUAUUGCACAAUGGGGGAAACCCUGAUGCAGCAACGCCGCGUGAGGGAAGAAGGUUUUCGGAUUGUAAACCUCUGUUCUUAGUGACGAUAAUGACGGUAGCUAAGGAGAAAGCUCCGGCUAACUACGUGCCAGCAGCCGCGGUAAUACGUAGGGAGCGAGCGUUGUCCGGAUUUACUGGGUGUAAAGGGUGCGUAGGCGGCGAGGCAAGUCAGGCGUGAAAUCUAUGGGCUUAACCCAUAAACUGCGCUUGAAACUGUCUUGCUUGAGUGAAGUAGAGGUAGGCGGAAUUCCCGGUGUAGCGGUGAAAUGCGUAGAGAUCGGGAGGAACACCAGUGGCGAAGGCGGCCUACUGGGCUUUAACUGACGCUGAAGCACGAAAGCAUGGGUAGCAAACAGGAUUAGAUACCCUGGUAGUCCAUGCCGUANACGAUGAUUACUAG
RNAcentral lists this ribosomal RNA (697 nucleotides) under uncultured bacterium. Its description in RNAcentral is "bacterial SSU rRNA". It matches the Rfam family "Bacterial small subunit ribosomal RNA", at positions 88 to 819 of the family's 1533-position model. The record is from RNAcentral.